This 406-nucleotide ribosomal RNA is filed under the name uncultured bacterium. RNAcentral's name for it is "partial 16S ribosomal RNA". It matches the Rfam family "Bacterial small subunit ribosomal RNA", at positions 30 to 526 of the family's 1533-position model. The record is from RNAcentral.
AUUGAACGCUGGCGGCAGGCCUAACACAUGCAAGUCGAACGAGUGGCGGACGGGUGAGUAAUGUCUGGGAAACUGCCUGGUGGCGGGGGAUAACUACUGGAAACGGUAGCUAAUACCGCAUACCAUCGGAUGUGCCCAGAUGGGAUUAGCUAUGAGGUGGGGUAAAGGCUCACCAAGGCGACGAUCCCGAGCUGGUCUGAGAGGAGGACCCGCCAACCUGGAACUGAGACACGGUCAAGACUCCUACGGGAGGCAGCAGUGGGGAAUAUUGCACAAUGGGCGCAAGCCUGAUGCAGCCAUGCCGCGUGUAUGAUGAAGGCCUUCGGGUUGUAAAGUACUUUCAGCGGGGAGGCGUUACCCGCAGAAGAAGCACCGGCUAACUCCGUGCCAGCAGCCGCGGUAAUAC